CUCGACAAAUAAUAAACAAAUCUGAAAAGGAAAGUGCGACUAACAAAACUCUUUUGACCUAAAUUUCUUUUACACCUCCGCUUUCUGAAUCAAUUGGGCAACAACAAAGGACUGCAAGACCUGCUGAUUUUCGAGCUCUUCACCACCAGUACAUCCGGUGAUAGUACUUUCUGGUGACGAUUUCACUCUACCCAAGCCCCAAAUCAAGAGUCUCUUCAGAUUCAUUGUGUCGAUGUGAUUAUAUAUAAUCGAGCAAUUAGUGAAGUAGGUGAGAAUUUUGGUGAAUCCUAUUUACCCGUUUCAUCUUCGAUUAUUUCAUGGGUAAGAGAUAUCGUUUUCGUCUUCUUUUUCAUUAAGUUUCGUGAGAUAACCCCAAGCAAGUAUAGAUCACUCAAGUAAUUUAAAUUGUAACAUGAAUUUUCCUUAGAAGAUGUGCUUUGGUUUUUAGCGAGUCUGGUGGUCCUUCUUUUUGACGAUUCUAAAGUUCAUGCAAAACUGAAUUUUGUUUCAUUAAUUAUUGUUGCUGUUUGUCCACUUGUUGAUUUCGUAGCUGCAUUGCUAUUUUGAAUUUAUCAUUAGCAUCUAGUUCGGUUCAGGGAUCAACAAUUACUAAUUUAUUGUUCCAUUUUGUUGGAGCUGUUGAGCUCUCGGUAAUGCAGAAUAUGAUAUGAGGCUUCUGAGACCUCACUCUCUGGGUACUAUGAGCUAAUCAUCUUCAAUGUCUUCGAAGUCGUCCUCCCUACAAAAAAAAAAACAUAAGUAUCUCAGGAACUGCAGGAUAAUAUUUUUGGAAACAUCUUAAAGAAGGAUAUGGCAAGAUGCUCUCCAUAUGAUCCUAAAAUUACCAAGGUCAAAAGGACUUGAACUCGGAAACAUGUGUGUAAAACCAUCGGUGGCUGCCAUGACUUAUUCUAAGGUUUGACAGCAAGUGACUGUUUGGAUACACAACUAACAUAACUAAGAUCCGAAUAGAGUAAUAUGCAAACAAAGAGGGUCCGCGUCCUUUUUUGAAUUUAGAUUACUCAUUUGCCCUUUUUUUAUUUUUUUCCUUGUUCUUCUUUAGUUUAUUUCGUAGGGGUAAUAUAUGGAAUUUUUGUAUAGUUUUUUUUCUUUUUUUUUUUUUUCUUUUGUACUCCCCGAUUAAUAGUAUAGACUAGGUUCGGAUCCGUACGUAUGUGCAAGGUUGAUUUCAAAAACUAAGUUUACGAUCAAGUUUGCAAUAUGUUAUGUACGUGUUAGAUUAUGUUGUAAGCAUAUUUUAUAUAAAUAUUAUUAACAUUCAUAGUU
Camelina sativa (false flax) is the source of this 1287-nucleotide non-coding RNA. The record is from RefSeq and is a predicted model, not a curated record. NCBI's taxonomy places the organism in Eukaryota, Viridiplantae, Streptophyta, Magnoliopsida, Brassicales, Brassicaceae.